This 87-nucleotide transfer RNA is filed under the name Acanthopleuribacter pedis. RNAcentral describes it as "tRNA-Ser". It matches the Rfam family "tRNA". Rfam says of the family: Transfer RNA (tRNA) molecules are approximately 80 nucleotides in length. Their secondary structure includes four short double-helical elements and three loops (D, anti-codon, and T loops). The record is from RNAcentral. Lineage: Bacteria; Pseudomonadati; Acidobacteriota; Holophagae; Acanthopleuribacterales; Acanthopleuribacteraceae.
GGAGGAAUGGCUGAGUGGUCGAAAGCGGCGGUCUUGAAAACCGUUGACCUCAUGGGUCCGUGGGUUCGAAUCCUACUUCCUCCGCCA